RNAcentral lists this small nuclear RNA (141 nucleotides) under Podarcis muralis (Common wall lizard). Its description in RNAcentral is "U1 spliceosomal RNA (ENSPMRG00000005673.1)". It matches the Rfam family "U1 spliceosomal RNA". Rfam says of the family: U1 is a small nuclear RNA (snRNA) component of the spliceosome (involved in pre-mRNA splicing). The record is from RNAcentral. Lineage: Eukaryota; Metazoa; Chordata; Lepidosauria; Squamata; Lacertidae.
AUACUUACCUGGCGGGGGGGGGGGGAGAGACACCUUGAUCAUGAAGGAGGUUUCCACAGGGUGAGGCUCAUCCAUUGCACUGCGGGUGUGGUGACCCCUGCAAUUUCCCCAACUGCGGGGAUUGCGUUUGUGUUUUCCUCU